UACGAAGGGUGCAAGCGUUACUCGGAAUUACUGGGCGUAAAGCGUGCGUAGGUGGUUCGUUAAGUCUGAUGUGAAAGCCCUGGGCUCAACCUGGGAAUGGCAUUGGAUACUGGCGACCUAGAGUGCGGUAGAGGGUGGCGGAAUUCCCGGUGUAGCAGUGAAAUGCGUAGAUAUCGGGAGGAACACCAAUGGCGAAGGCAGCUCGCUGGGACGGUACUGACGCUGAGACGCGAAAGCGUGGGGAGCAAACAGG
This 253-nucleotide ribosomal RNA is filed under the name uncultured bacterium. RNAcentral describes it as "partial 16S ribosomal RNA". It matches the Rfam family "Bacterial small subunit ribosomal RNA", at positions 524 to 776 of the family's 1533-position model. The record is from RNAcentral.